CUGACCAAAUGUUUAAGGAAGGGGAUGGGGAUGCGUCCCAUUAGCUUGUUGGCGGGGUAACGGCCCACCAAGGCUCCGAUGGGUAGGGGUUCUGAGAGGAAGGUCCCCCACACUGGAACUGAGACACGGUCCAGACUCCUACGGGAGGCAGCAGUGAGGAAUAUUGGUCAAUGGAGGCAACUCUGAACCAGCCAAGUAGCGUGAAGGAAGACUGCCCUAUGGGUUGUAAACUUCUUUUGUUCGGGAAUAAAGUGCAGUAUGUAUACUGUUUUGUAUGUACCGUUCGAAUAAGCAUCGGCUAAUUCCGUG
Molecule: ribosomal RNA, 309 nt
Filed under: uncultured bacterium
Lineage: Bacteria
Description: bacterial SSU rRNA
Rfam family: Bacterial small subunit ribosomal RNA
Source: RNAcentral